This 296-nucleotide ribosomal RNA is filed under the name uncultured bacterium. RNAcentral describes it as "partial 16S ribosomal RNA". It matches the Rfam family "Bacterial small subunit ribosomal RNA", at positions 775 to 1067 of the family's 1533-position model. The record is from RNAcentral.
GGAUUAGAUACCCUGGUAGUCCACGCUGUAAACGAUGAGAACUAGACGUUGGGCGGAUAACCGCUCGGUGUCGCAGCUAACGCAUUAAGUUCUCCGCCUGGGGAGUACGGCCGCAAGGCUGAAACUCAAAGGAAUUGACGGGGGCCCGCACAAGCGGUGGAGCAUGUGGUUUAAUUCGAAGCAACGCGCAGAACCUUACCAGCCCCUGACAUGGGCGUCGCGGUUCUUGGAGACAGGAACCUUCAGUUCGGCUGGACGCCACACAGGUGCUGCAUGGCUGUCGUCAGCUCGUGCCG